Molecule: ribosomal RNA, 259 nt
Filed under: uncultured bacterium
Lineage: Bacteria
Description: partial 16S ribosomal RNA
Rfam family: Bacterial small subunit ribosomal RNA
Source: RNAcentral
UACGAAGGGUGCGAAACGUUGCUCGGAAUUAUUGGGUGACGGUAAAGGGCGCGUAGGCGGUGCGGUAAGUCUGCGGGUGAAAUCUCCCGGCUCAACUGGGAGUCUGCCGGUGGAAACUGCCGUGGCUUGAGUCCGGGAGAGGUGAGUGGAACUGCGAGUGUAGAGGUGAAAUUCGUAGAUAUUCGGAAGAACACCAGUGGCGAAGGCGACUUACUGGACACAUAUUGACGCUGAGGUGACGAAAGCGUGGGGAGCAAAC